UAUUCUUGUAGUACCGUCAGCUCCGGACACGUCCGGAGAGUUCUUUCUCAAAAAAGCAGUUUACAACCCGUAGGGCUGUCAUCCUGCACGCGGCAUGGCUGGGUCAGACUUUCGUCCAUUGCCCAAUAUUCCU
This 133-nucleotide ribosomal RNA is filed under the name uncultured bacterium. RNAcentral describes it as "partial 16S ribosomal RNA". The record is from RNAcentral.